GGCAUUUUUCGGGCCACCAAAAGUCCGGUAGCGGUGAAGGACCCGGAUAUAUAAGCCCUGGGCGCGCUCGUGCUCAGCCUUUGGGUCCUGGCUGUGGAAGAAGAAGGAAUUGAUGUACAAGGCUUUAGCAUUUACACAGAUUAACGCUCUGAAUUGAUAAUGGAGGGUUUAUUUGGAGAGCUCUGUGGUCAGAGUCAUGCUGCAGAGCGCGAGGGACGAGCGGCACGUGAUCCGCGGGUCAGGUGCUCAGCACGUGGCCAGGAGCUUGGCCUCGUUGCGGUCCUGUUCGUCUCUGUGCAGAAAAAGUGGGGUUAGGUAGUGAAUCUGCAGAGCCUACCUCCGGAGAAGCUGUUCGGGGAAGAGUAAAGCUGCAAAGAGCAGAUGCAGAACAGUGUGGAGUCUGCAGCUGCGAGCUGAUGGCACCUCAGCAUGGUCUUUCUGCUGGACAUAGCUCUUCUGGCUCGUCUGCACACAGCUGGUCUCUCCAUGUCUGCAUGACUGUAGCAGCCCCAGCUGGAUGACCUUCAUGAACAUAAAGCAGGUGUGUAACUGCAGAGGUGGCACUCCCAACACUGAAGAUCCUAGUCUGUCAUCUGAUGGAAGCAUCAAGCCGGAGCAGUGCACAUCUUCCAUUGCUUUAAGCAACUUGUCUUCAUCUGUGUGAAUGUUGAACUUUUUUUUUUAAACCACUGUAUUUAAGGACAAUAAAGGUUGACCACACACGA
Pelmatolapia mariae (spotted tilapia) is the source of this 725-nucleotide long non-coding RNA. RefSeq lists it as uncharacterized. The transcript has 6 exons. The record is from RefSeq and is a predicted model, not a curated record. NCBI's taxonomy places the organism in Eukaryota, Metazoa, Chordata, Actinopteri, Cichliformes, Cichlidae.